This 498-nucleotide unclassified non-coding RNA is filed under the name uncultured Glomus. RNAcentral's name for it is "SSU rRNA". It matches the Rfam family "Eukaryotic small subunit ribosomal RNA", at positions 569 to 1074 of the family's 1831-position model. Lineage: Eukaryota; Fungi; Glomeromycota; Glomeromycetes; Glomerales; Glomeraceae. The record is from RNAcentral.
AGCAGCCGCGGUAAUUCCAGCUCCAAUAGCGUAUAUUAAAGUUGCUGCAGUUAAAAAGCUCGUAGUUGAAUUUCGGGAUCAAUAUGUUGGUCGUGCCUCGGUACGUACUAGCUUAUUGGUUUCUCCCUUCUGACGAACCAUGAUGUCAUUUAUUUGGUGUUAUGGGAAAUCAGGACUGUUACUUUGAAAAAUUAGAGUGUUUAAAGCAGGCUCACGCUUGAAUACAUUAGCAUGGAAUAAUGAAAUAGGACGUUUGAUUCUAUUUUGUUGGUUUCUAGGAUCGACGUAAUGAUUAAUAGGGAUAGUUGGGGGCAUUAGUAUUCAAUUGUCAGAGGUGAAAUUCUUGGAUUUAUUGAAGACUAACUACUGCGAAAGCAUUUGCCAAGGAUGUUUUCAUUAAUCAAGAACGAAAGUUAGGGGAUCGAAGACGAUCAGAUACCGUCGUAGUCUUAACCAUAAACUAUGCCGACUAGGGAUCGGAUGAUGUUAAUUUUUAAU